RNAcentral lists this ribosomal RNA (2100 nucleotides) under Zschokkella epinepheli. RNAcentral describes it as "SSU rRNA". It matches the Rfam family "Eukaryotic small subunit ribosomal RNA". Lineage: Eukaryota; Metazoa; Cnidaria; Myxozoa; Bivalvulida; Myxidiidae. The record is from RNAcentral.
UUAAGCCAUGCAUGUCUGAGUUCAUACCUAGUAAACGUGAGACUGCGAAAGGCUCAGUACAUCAGUUAUAGUUUAUUCGAUUGUGAAAUCCACAUGGAUAACCGUGGAAAAUCUAGAGCUAAUACAUGCGAAAAAAUUCUUACUAACGGCGCAAUCUGUUAGUGGAUGAUGCAUUUAUUAGAUUAAACCAAUCGAUGUUACAGUGGCUUCAACACUGUUGUAACAUUGCUGUGGUGAGUCUGGAUAACUGUGCCGAUCGUAUGGCCUUGAGCCGGCGACAUUUCGAUUAAAUUUCUGCCCUAUCAACUUGUUGGUAAGGUAGUGGCUUACCAAGGUGAUAACGGGUAACGGGGAAUCAGGGUUCGAUUCCGGAGAGGGAGCCUGAGAAACGGCUACCACAUCCAAGGACGGCAGCAGGCGCGCAAAUUACCCAAUCCAGACACUGGGAGGUGGUGACGAGAAAUACCAGGUCGGUCCCAAAAGGAUUCGACACUGGAAUGAGUUUAAUUUAAAAAUUUAAAUGAGAAACAACUGGAGGGCAAGUCUGGUGCCAGCAGCCGCGGUAAUUCCAGCUCCAGUAGUGUAUCCAAACGUUGCUGCGGUUAAAACGCUCGUAGUUGGACAAGAGAGUAACUUGGUGCGGGCGGGGAGUGUGAUUGCUCUAUGUGUUUGCUUCUUGUGGUUGUUGUUGCUUGUUUUGCGCAAGUAACAAUGGCACUUGAGGAUGUAGCAUAGUAGUGCACUUGUCGACCAUGCUGCCAGGUUCCUUGUAAUGAUUCGUGAGAAUGGUACAUGGUCUUUAUUGUAUUGUGUACUGUGUCUUACGUAGUGUGCCUUGAAUAAAUCAGAGUGCUCAAAGCAAGCUAUCGCUUGAAUGUUAAUAGCAUGGAACGAAUGUGUUGUGAGAGUGUGCUGGUAGAUGUCACUUGUGAUUAUCUAUUAGUACACAGCACCAACCGCGAAGCGGACCAUUGGUUGCCGACUUCGGGUGAGGAUUAAGAGGGGCAUUUGGGGGCAUUAGUAUUUGGCCGCGAGAGGUGAAAUUCUUGGACCGGCCAAGGACUAACAAGUGCGAAAGCAUUUGCCAAGUAUGUUCCCUUUAAUCAAGAACGAAAGUGAGAGGUUCGAAGACGAUCAGAUACCGUCCUAGUUCUCACCGUAAACGAUGCCAACCCGGGAUCAGUCCGGAUGAGAUUAUUUGGAUCCAGGUUGGUCCCCCUGGGAAACCUUGAGUUUUUAGGUUCCGGGGGGAGUAUGGUUGCAAGGCUGAAACUUAAAGGAAUUGACGGAAGGGCACCACCAGGGGUGGAGCCUGCGGCUCAAUUUGACUCAACACGGGAAAACUCACCUGGUCCGGACAUCGAUAGGAUUGACAGACUAAUAGAUCUUUCAUGAUACGGUGGGUGGUGGUGCAUGGCCGUUCUUAGUUCGUGGAGCGAUCUGUCAGGUUGAUUCCGGUAACGGACGAGACCAUGUUCUUCAUUUAGGGAACUACAAGACAAGUAGUAUGUAAGUGGUGGGGUGUCUCUCUCUGUCUCUGUCCCCUUCUCUCAUGUACUUGAUUAAUAAGGGUGCGUGAAGGCGGGUGUGUGAUAGAUAUCCUACAAGAUGUCGUCAUCAUCAUCUUUCAUCCAUCUACUAUGAAGUGAGUAUAUGUGGGUUGGGGGCAGUGUAUUGGGGGAUCCCUCUUCUCGUGUGCUAUUUGUAAAGUUGUAGUGUGCGUAUAGCAAUGUACGUCCCUAUGGAGAGACAGCCGGAUUGUAAGGCGGAGGAAGCGUGGCAAUAACAGGUCUGUGAUGCCCUUCGAUGUUCAGGGCCGCACGCGCGCUACAAUGAUAACGACAACGAGAGUCUGGACUGAAAAGUUCUGGGUAAUCUUUUGAAUCGUUAUCGUGAUGGGGAUUGAGCAUUGUAAUUGUUGCUCAUGAAAUAGGAAUCCCUUGUAUACGUGUCUCACUUAGGACACGUAGAAUGCGUCUCUGCCCUUUGUACACACCGCCCGUCGCUACUACCGAGUGAAUGGUGUCAUGAUGUCUUGGGACUGGACGUUGUUGGCAGUGAAAGCUGCGGACGAUGCUAGGAGCAAGCCAAAAUGGCGCA